UAACACUAACUGGAGGACCGAACCGACUAAUGUUGAAAAAUUAGCGGAUGACCUGUGGCUGGGGGUGAAAGGCCAAUCAAACCGGGAGAUAGCUGGUUCUCCCCGAAAGCUAUUUAGGUAGCGCCUCGUGAAUUCAUCUCCGGGGGUAGAGCACUGUUUCGGCUAGGGGGCCAUCCCGGCUUACCAACCCGAUGCAAACUGCGAAUACCGGAGAAUGUUAUCACGGGAGACACACGGCGGGUGCUAACGUCCGUCGUGAAGAGGGAAACAACCCAGACCGCCAGCUAAGGUCCCAAAGUCAUGGUUAAGUGGGAAACGAUGUGGGAAGGCCCAGACAGCCAGGAUGUUGGCUUAGAAGCAGCCAUCAUUUAAAGAAAGCGUAAUAGCUCACUGGUCGAGUCGGCCUGCGCGGAAGAUGUAACGGGGCUAAACCAUGCACCGAAGCUGCGGCAGCGACACUGUGUGUUGUUGGGUAGGGGAGCGUUCUGUAAGCCUGUGAAGGUGUGUCGUGAGGCAUGCUGGAGGUAUCAGAAGUGCGAAUGCUGACAUAAGUAACGAUAAAGCGGGUGAAAAGCCCGCUCGCCGGAAGACCAAGGGUUCCUGUCCAACGUUAAUCGGGGCAGGGUGAGUCGACCCCUAAGGCGAGGCCGAAAGGCGUAGUCGAUGGGAAACGGGUUAAUAUUCCCGUACUUGGUGUUACUGCGAAGGGGGGACGGAGAAGGCUAUGUUGGCCGGGCGACGGUUGUCCCGGUUUAAGCGUGUAGGUGUGUGUUCCAGGUAAAUCCGGUUCACUUUAACACUGAGGCGUGACGACGAGGCACUACGGUGCUGAAGCAACAAAUGCCCUGCUUCCAGGAAAAGCCUCUAAGCAUCAGGUAACAUCAAAUCGUACCCCAAACCGACACAGGUGGUCAGGUAGAGAAUACCAAGGCGCUUGAGAGAACUCGGGUGAAGGAACUAGGCAAAAUGGUGCCGUAACUUCGGGAGAAGGCACGCUGACACGUAGGUGAAGUGAUUUACUCAUGGAGCUGAAGUCAGUCGAAGAUACCAGCUGGCUGCAACUGUUUAUUAAAAACACAGCACUGUGCAAACACGAAAGUGGACGUAUACGGUGUGACGCCUGCCCGGUGCCGGAAGGUUAAUUGAUGGGGUCAGCGCAAGCGAAGCUCCUGAUCGAAGCCCCGGUAAACGGCGGCCGUAACUAUAACGGUCCUAAGGUAGCGAAAUUCCUUGUCGGGUAAGUUCCGACCUGCACGAAUGGCGUAAUGAUGGCCAGGCUGUCUCCACCCGAGACUCAGUGAAAUUGAACUCGCUGUGAAGAUGCAGUGUACCCGCGGCAAGACGGAAAGACCCCGUGAACCUUUACUAUAGCUUGACACUGAACAUUGAGCCUUGAUGUGUAGGAUAGGUGGGAGGCUUUGAAGUGUGGACGCCAGUCUGCAUGGAGCCGACCUUGAAAUACCACCCUUUAAUGUUUGAUGUUCUAACGUGGACCCGUUACCCGGGUUGCGGACAGUGUCUGGUGGGUAGUUUGACUGGGGCGGUCUCCUCCUAAAGAGUAACGGAGGAGCACGAAGGUUGGCUAAUCCUGGUCGGACAUCAGGAGGUUAGUGCAAUGGCAUAAGCCAGCUUGACUGCGAGCGUGACGGCGCGAGCAGGUGCGAAAGCAGGUCAUAGUGAUCCGGUGGUUCUGAAUGGAAGGGCCAUCGCUCAACGGAUAAAAGGUACUCCGGGGAUAACAGGCUGAUACCGCCCAAGAGUUCAUAUCGACGGCGGUGUUUGGCACCUCGAUGUCGGCUCAUCACAUCCUGGGGCUGAAGUAGGUCCCAAGGGUAUGGCUGUUCGCCAUUUAAAGUGGUACGCGAGCUGGGUUUAGAACGUCGUGAGACAGUUCGGUCCCUAUCUGCCGUGGGCGCUGGAGAACUGAGGGGGGCUGCUCCUAGUACGAGAGGACCGGAGUGGACGCAUCACUGGUGUUCGGGUUGUCAUGCCAAUGGCACUGCCCGGUAGCUAAAUGCGGAAGAGAUAAGUGCUGAAAGCAUCUAAGCACGAAACUUGCCCCGAGAUGAGUUCUCCCUGAGACUUA
RNAcentral lists this ribosomal RNA (2086 nucleotides) under Salmonella enterica subsp. enterica serovar Enteritidis. RNAcentral's name for it is "partial 23S ribosomal RNA". It matches the Rfam family "Bacterial large subunit ribosomal RNA", at positions 757 to 2824 of the family's 2925-position model. The record is from RNAcentral. Lineage: Bacteria; Pseudomonadati; Pseudomonadota; Gammaproteobacteria; Enterobacterales; Enterobacteriaceae.